RNAcentral lists this long non-coding RNA (400 nucleotides) under Carica papaya (papaya). RNAcentral describes it as "long non-coding RNA (CPAP_LNC008076)". The record is from RNAcentral. Lineage: Eukaryota; Viridiplantae; Streptophyta; Magnoliopsida; Brassicales; Caricaceae.
UGAGGCAUUUUAUGGGAAGAAUCCGCUGCUGUCAAAGGACUUAUCCCGUAUUGUCAAUUCCAAUCACUUUGCUCGCUUGAUAAAGCUCUUGGAUGAGGAUAAGGUUUCUAGUAAAAUUGUAUAUGGAGGUGAAAGGGACAGUGCCAACCUGUGAGCUGCUUUCUGAUUUUACGUCAUUACUUCAUUAUAAUUCAUGCAACCAAGUGCAUGGACCUGUUUUAUGGUUAAUGUUUCUUUACCUUUGGCUGUAGGAGAAUUGCUCCAACCAUCUUGCUUGAUGUCCCACGAGAUUCUCUGAUAAUGACUGAGGAAAUAUUUGGCCCUCUGCUCCCAAUUAUUACGGUAGGUACUAAAAGUGUCUGUCGCAAAAGAGUUCUCUUUUUCUUUUUUUUUUUUUUUU